RNAcentral lists this ribosomal RNA (802 nucleotides) under Verrucomicrobia bacterium SCGC AAA158-E11. Its description in RNAcentral is "bacterial SSU rRNA". It matches the Rfam family "Bacterial small subunit ribosomal RNA", at positions 67 to 851 of the family's 1533-position model. RNAcentral also lists the same sequence under 9 other names. Lineage: Bacteria; Pseudomonadati; Verrucomicrobiota. The record is from RNAcentral.
CGGGACUUACUUAGCUUGCUUUGUAAGUUUAGUGGCGGACGGGUGAGUAACACGUGAGCAACCUGCCCAGAAGAAGGGGAUAGCUCGAGGAAACUCGAAUUAAUACCAUAUGUGAUCCUGUGAAGCAUUUCGCAGGAAUGAAAGAUGCCUUCGGGUGUCACUUCUGGAUGGGCUCGCGGCCUAUCAGUUAGUUGGUGAGGUAACGGCUCACCAAGGCAAUGACGGGUAGCUGGUCUGAGAGGACGACCAGUCACACUGGAACUGAGACACGGUCCAGACACCUACGGGUGGCAGCAGUCGAGAAUCAUUCGCAAUGGGGGAAACCCUGACGGUGCGACGCCGCGUGGAGGAUGACGGUCUUCGGAUUGUAAACUCCUGUCAUCGAAGAGUAAGGCUUAUGUAUUAAUAGUAUGUAAGAUUGAUAGUAUUCGAAGAGGAAGGGACGGCUAACUUCGUGCCAGCAGCCGCGGUAAUACGAAGGUCCCAAGCGUUGUUCGGAAUCACUGGGCGUAAAGGGAGCGUAGGCGGUGAGGUAAGUCAGAUGUGAAAUUCCAGGGCUCAACCCUGGAACUGCAUCCGAUACUGCCUUACUAGAGUAGUGGAGGGGCAUCUGGAAUUCACGGUGUAGCAGUGAAAUGCGUAGAGAUCGUGAGGAACACUAGUGGCGAAGGCGAGAUGCUGGACACUUACUGACGCUGAGGCUCGAAGGCCAGGGUAGCGAAAGGGAUUAGAUACCCCUGUAGUCCUGGCAGUAAACGGUGCACGUUUGGUGUGAGAAGGUUCGACCCUUUUCGUGCCGGAG